This 340-nucleotide unclassified non-coding RNA is filed under the name uncultured fungus. RNAcentral's name for it is "sequence contains ITS1". The stretch from base 1 to 103 matches the Rfam family "5.8S ribosomal RNA", at positions 50 to 154 of the family's 154-position model. Lineage: Eukaryota; Fungi. The record is from RNAcentral.
GAAAUGCGAUACUUGGUGUGAAUUGCAGAACCGUGAGUCAUCAGAUUUUUGAACGCAAUUGGCGCCCGUUGGCUCUCCAACGGGCAUGCUUGUUUCAGUGUCUCUUUAUCUCAUCACCCAGAUCAUAAUGCGAGAGAUACCCUUCUCUUGUUAAACAUGAAAGCACUCUGCGCUCUGCGAGCGGCUUCGACUUGUUCGAGGGUCGCACUCAAUGCAGCAGUCACAUUGCUCACAAUGUGAACUCAUUGAGAGUAGAGGCAGUGCGGCGUAAGCUGCCAGUGCUUAGUCACUCAAACUUUACUUGCAUCUGAAAUCAAGCAGGAUCACCCGCUGAACUUAA